GACGAACGCUUGCGACGUGCCUAAGAAAUGCAAGUCGAACGGGAGGAGCAAUCCUCUAGUGGCGAACGGUCGCGUAACACGUGGGCAACCUGCCCUGAAGCGGGGGACAACAGCUCGAAAGGGCUGCUAAUACCGCAUGUGAAGGGGGAUGGCAUCAUCCCUUGUUCAAAGCUUUAUGCGCUUCAGGAUGGGCCCGCGGCCUAUCAGCUAGUUGGUGGGGUAACGGCCUACCAAGGCUUCGACGGGUAGCUGGUCUGAGAGGACGAUCAGCCGGAUUGGGACUGAGAUACGGCCCAGACUCCUACGGGGGGCAGCAAUUAGGAAUCUUGCACAAUGGGCGAAAGCCUGAUGCAGCGACGUCGCGUGGAGGAUGAAAUCUUUCGGGAU
RNAcentral lists this ribosomal RNA (387 nucleotides) under uncultured bacterium. Its description in RNAcentral is "bacterial SSU rRNA". It matches the Rfam family "Bacterial small subunit ribosomal RNA", at positions 28 to 424 of the family's 1533-position model. The record is from RNAcentral.